ACUAGUGAUUAGGCAGCAGUGGGGAAUUUUCCGCAAUGGGCGAAAGCCUGACGGAGCAAUGCCGCGUGGAGGUGGAAGGCCUACGGGUCGUCAACUUCUUUUCUCGGAGAAGAAACAAUGACGGUAUCUGAGGAAUAAGCAUCGGCUAACUCUGUGCCAGCAGCCGCGGUAAUAAUCGAAUU
RNAcentral lists this ribosomal RNA (182 nucleotides) under uncultured bacterium. Its description in RNAcentral is "partial 16S ribosomal RNA". It matches the Rfam family "Bacterial small subunit ribosomal RNA", at positions 335 to 531 of the family's 1533-position model. The record is from RNAcentral.